This 276-nucleotide ribosomal RNA is filed under the name uncultured bacterium. RNAcentral's name for it is "partial 16S ribosomal RNA". The record is from RNAcentral.
CUGCUGCCUCCCGUAGGAGUUUGGACCGUGUCUCAGUUCCAAUGUGGGGGACCUUCCCCUCAGAACCCCUACGCAUCGUCGGCUUGGUGGGCCGUUGCCCCACCAACUACCUAAUGCGCCGCAUGCCCAUCCGUGACCGGGGUCGCCCCCUUUGGCCGGCAGGGGAUGUCCCCUCCCGGCAUUAUGUUGUAUUAGGCGGGAUUUCUCCCGGUUAUCCAUCUGUCACGGCCAGGUUGCAUACGUGUUACUCACCCGUGCGCCGGUCGCCGGCGGCAG